This 465-nucleotide ribosomal RNA is filed under the name uncultured bacterium. RNAcentral describes it as "partial 16S ribosomal RNA". It matches the Rfam family "Bacterial small subunit ribosomal RNA", at positions 28 to 507 of the family's 1533-position model. The record is from RNAcentral.
GACGAACGCUGGCGGCGUGCUUAACACAUGCAAGUCGAACGGAAAGGCCCUGCUUGCAGGGUACUCGAGUGGCGAACGGGUGAGUAACACGUGGGUGAUCUGCCCUGCACUUCGGGAUAAGCCUGGGAAACUGGGUCUAAUACCGGAUAGGAGCCAUUUUUAGUGUGAUGGUUGGAAAGUUUUUUCGGUGUAGGAUGAGCUCGCGGCCUAUCAGCUUGUUGGUGGGGUAAUGGCCUACCAAGGCGGCGACGGGUAGCCGGCCUGAGAGGGUGGACGGCCACAUUGGGACUGAGAGACGGCCCAGACGCCUACGGGAGGCAGCAGUGGGGAAUAUUGCACAAUGGGCGCAAGCCUGAUGCAGCGACGCCGCGUGGGGGAUGACGGCCUUCGGGUUGUAAACGCCUUUCGCUAGGGACGAAGCUUUUUGUGACGGUACCUAGAGAAGAAGCACCGGCUAACUACGUG